RNAcentral lists this ribosomal RNA (367 nucleotides) under uncultured bacterium. Its description in RNAcentral is "bacterial SSU rRNA". It matches the Rfam family "Bacterial small subunit ribosomal RNA", at positions 42 to 423 of the family's 1533-position model. The record is from RNAcentral.
UCAGGCCUAACACAUGCAAGUCGAGCGGGGUUUUCGGACCUAGCGGCGGACGGGUGAGUAAUGCGUAGGAAGCUGCCCGAUAGAGGGGGAUACCAGUUGGAAACGACUGUUAAUACCGCAUAAUGUCUACGGACCAAAGUGUGGGACCUUCGGGCCACAUGCUAUCGGAUGCGCCUACGUGGGAUUAGCUAGUUGGUGAGGUAAUGGCUCACCAAGGCGACGAUCUCUAGCUGGUUUGAGAGGAUGAUCAGCCACACUGGAACUGAGACACGGUCCAGACUCCUACGGGAGGCAGCAGUGGGGAAUAUUGGACAAUGGGCGCAAGCCUGAUCCAAAAGUGCCGCGUGUGUGAAGAAGGCCUUCGGGU